Non-coding RNA from Caenorhabditis elegans, 143 nucleotides. The record is from Ensembl. NCBI's taxonomy places the organism in Eukaryota, Metazoa, Nematoda, Chromadorea, Rhabditida, Rhabditidae.
GAGAGAGCAGCAGAAGGAAAAAAGAAACAAGGAAAGAAGACACCCUUUUUCUUAUUUUUUCUCCCUUUUCUCCUGAGCAAGCUACAAGGCUCGUCGAAUCCGAAUCCGAAGCAGCAGCCGCCGUUGCUCUUCUGUGUCUCAAU